CAGGAUUCCGGGGACUGGAGGGCAGCGCCGGCAGCCAAGAUGCAACUUCUCCAGGAGUGCUUAUGUUACCCAAAGAGAAACAGAUGCACAAAGAGAAGGAAUGAGAUGCUCGGGGAUAUUUUAUCAAGGAAACCAGCAAACCGUCUUUUUCCUGAAGACCUUUUAAGAUUAGGACAAGCAGCUGUUUAUAAAAGCAGAACAGUGUUAAGAUUUGAACUGUAAAGUAGGAUCAUGCUUUGAAGUAUAUUCUAGCUAAAAGCAGGGGAUAAACUAGAUAAAACUUGGAGACUCUAAGACCUGACCCUGAUUAAGUGGGCCUACAAGUGAGAAUCUGAAGAACAGCUCUCUGGCUGAACAUAUCCCUUGGAUGUUGUUAUUACCAGCUGCCUCUAGAUUUGAGAACAGUGCUGAGCAUGCUUUUAAAUGAUCUUUGAGGUACUUUAAGCUAGCUACACCUGAAAGCAUACCUAGCCCUCAUUUCUGUUUGCUUGAACAAGAGCCUGAAAAAGAAGUCUAAAGAACUUUCUAGUGAUAUCCUUCAGUCCUGUUCUAAAAAGAACCUGUGUUCUUCACCGAGUUAAGGAAAUUUCACAACUCCCAGGGGCUAAUGUGGAGUUCAUUUUCACUUACUGCUGAAUCAACUGAAGUUCCUUUCAGAGUCUUUUCCUAGAGUGGAAAAGUAUCUGAGCUCUUCAACCUACUAUUCAUUAGUGCUGAGAG
Molecule: long non-coding RNA, 720 nt
Filed under: Homo sapiens (human)
Lineage: Eukaryota; Metazoa; Chordata; Mammalia; Primates; Hominidae
Description: non-protein coding lnc-RBL2-7:1
Source: RNAcentral